RNAcentral lists this long non-coding RNA (4198 nucleotides) under Sus scrofa (pig). RNAcentral's name for it is "lncRNA (ENSSSCG00015031128.1)". The record is from RNAcentral. Lineage: Eukaryota; Metazoa; Chordata; Mammalia; Artiodactyla; Suidae.
CCUUUCCCGCAUGAAUUCUUGACAACUUUCAAGAUCCAGAUGGGAAGAGGGCAGUGCUAUAGGAGGGGAGACCACUGGUGACAUGCCAGGUAUUUAAUAAAACUCAAACAAAUUGAUGAGUGAAUAAGACAAGAUGAAUCAAAGAAUGAAGAAUUAAAGUCAUGGAACAAAACACACAGGCGUCCUGAACACUGACAGCUGGUCUUGAACUUGGCACAUGAGUCAGCAUUGUUGAAUGAAUCCAGAAGCUCUGGAAGCCUCCUUUUAGCCAGGCACCCCCUGGCCCGGACUGACACAUAAAAUCAACCACCACUAUAGCCAGGCCAGCCUCAGGAUAAGUGUCUUUCCCAGUUUCAUAUAUAGAAGACGAAUUAAAUAUGAACUGAAUGACGGAUUUUGUGGAGACUGUCCAGGCGGAUCCAAAACCAAGCAGAAGCGCUCAGAAGCACCCUUGUCAGAACACUGGGAGAGAGAGACGUUGACAGCCACCAACCGAAUGCUGAACGAAGGCGGAGGAAACUGGAAAAUGGUAGGAAAGCCUUGUUGUAUUUUCACCCGCUCCUGCCCGGUCCCCUUCCUGGCCUGGCAGCCCCAUUCCCAGUGUGGGAGCAGGGUCCCCGGCUCAGGACGGUGCACGGCCGACCUCACUUGCCAAUUAUUAGGUAUGUCCACUCUCGCCUAUCUAGGGCCUCUCCAGAGGGCUGACACAAGACCGUUUGCCUGACUCAGAACGCAGGCCAGAAAAGCAGGGUGCCCUGCUGGGAGAAAAAGCAGCAAGGGAGGUCACCACCCAUAGGUGCUGGUGGCACAGACGCCAGAGGCAGAUUUCCCGUAAGCCGCCGAAGGCCUAGAGGAAAGCUGGGGGAGGUUCUUCAGGGGAAUUAGGACAUCCAGAAGCACCCUCGUGUAAAGGGGAAUUUGGAAAGCCACACGCAUGAUCAGGGCAAGACACACGCUCCGAGUAGAGCAGGGAAACCCUGAGUUUUCCCCUUGGCCUGGUCCCUGGGCUUCGUGUAAGCCUGUAAGUGUGGAAACAGCGACAACGUCCCUCUCUAGUGAUGCUUAGGAUUUUUUUGUCCUUAGUCUGUUUCCUAAUUCAGCUAAAAUAUUUAGCUGAAUCCAAAAUUAAAUCCACAAAACAAGUGUCUAUAUUAAAAGAAAUCUAGCUUCUAUCUCUGUACUUCCUACCACAUGUCCUCCUUGUUUUAACCACUUUUUCCAAAAAAAAAAUGUCGUUUAUCUUACCAUAUAGGUUUGUUGUCAGUUUCUCCAUUUCCAACCCAGAGGACACAAUGCAUGCUUUUCUCCAUCUUUCUUCUUUUCAUUCUGUAAUACUUCUUUGAAAUAAUUCCAUAGUAGUAGAUCCGUAUUGAUAGCUGUAUGGUACUCCAUUGGGUACCACAAUUUAUUCUAACCCGCCCCCUAUAGAAGAAUAUUGGAAUUGUUUUUCCGUCUGUUUUUUACUAUAAAAUAUCCUGCAGUGAUAUCAGUUUGUUGAUUGUAACCAAUGUGCAAUAAAAGCCAUUGAUAAAGGGAAGAGUGUGUGAAGCCCUUGGGACCCAUCUGUACUGUCUCUGCAAUUCUGCAAAUCUAAAUCUGUUAGCACAUUUUUAAAGUUUCUUUAAAAAUAAGAAAAAUAGGAGUUCCCGUGGAGGUGCAGCAGAAACGAAUCCGAUUAGGAAUGAGGAGGUUUCGGGUUCGAUCCCUGGCCUCGCUCAGUGGGAUAAAGAUCUGGUGUUGCUGUGAGCUGUGGUGUAGGUCACAGAUGUGGCUCAUAUCCCUCGGUGCUGUGGCUUUGGCAUAGGCCAGUAGCUAUAGCUCCGAUUCAACCCCUACAGAACUUCCAUAUGCCUCGGGUGUGGCCCUAAAAAGACAAAAUUAAAAACAAACAAACAAACAAAAAGCAGAUGACAUUAAUGGCGUCUUUUUUCAGGUCACUGAAGUGAACACUUCUUGCAUAUAAUGUGUUAUUUUUGAUGUGCUCCUUGCUACUGUUUGCUGAUAUUUAAGAUUUUUCACUGACGCACAGCAGAUUGGUUUGCAGUUUUCUUUCUCAGUGCAGUCUUUGACAUGUCUUUGGAAUCAGUGUUCCGUUUUCCUCUUUCUCUAUCCUCUGGAGUCGUUUUAAGUAGAACGGGGACUUUUCUAUUCUUUAACGGUGAGCUAGAAUGUCCCUGGGACCUUUUGGGGCGUGUGCUUCUUCACUCCUCAUAGUUCAUCUUCCAUAACAGUUGAAGACUGUUUAAACUUUCUGCCUCAACUGGAGACUAUUUUGGCAAGCUGUAAUUCUCAAAACCAAACAUUUCCUCUCGCAGUGUGUCUCUCUCCUCACCUAAGCUGGAAGCUCUUGGAGGGCAUAUUCCAAUAACAAUUUUAGGGUACCCAUCUGGUGUCCGACAAGUCAGUUCAAUUCCAGCAAUAAUAAUAUAUUAUAUAAACCACCUGGAGUUAGACAGACCCCACCAGUAAAGGCGCUCAGUCUUAUAAUACCGCCUCCACUGCAGAUGCCAGCUCCAAGUCAGGUCCUCAGGUCUACCUGAAAUUCUGACCAACUGCCUUUCCUGCAGCAUCCGCAGGUUCUGUAACUCCCCUUCAGUUCUGGUAUUUUUCUAGAACUACUCACAGAAUUCCUUGAAAGCACUACACUUAUUGGUACUGUUCUGUUCUAAAGAAUAUGCCCACAUGAAAGAUGGAGCUGGGCUCAGAACUUCCGUGCCUUCUGCAGGCGCCGCUACCCCCUCCCCCAGCAGCACACCCAUGCCCACACCCCGGAAGCUCUGCCAGCCUCCUCCUUACAGCGUUUUUAUCUGGACGUGCCUUACGGAGGCUCAGUUGCAUCGCCGGCCACAGGAUUAAAUACCAUCUCUCAGGAAACUCUCUGGGUGUCAGGAGCUCUGUGCCAAGAACUUGGGACAAAGACCAGGAACCUUUAUUUUAUGAGACCCCUGGGAGAAUACUGUGCAUUUCUUCAGUGCCCCGCUCGAGUUAUGCCUAGGUGUAGGUAGGUGUACAAUCUUUAUCUAUUAAGUUAUUGGAUACAAGAGUGACUGAACUGUAUUUGUUCCAGUUAGUAAGGCUGUUCUUUCUUUCGGGAAGGAAAGCCAACCUGGCCUCUGGGCCUGUUACUUGGUAAUGCUAAUGCGUUACAUUCCCUUCAGCCCCCCCCACCCCCACCCCCCGCCCUGAAAGUGCCGGCUGCCCAAAGCCUUGCAGUCCAAAGACCUGAAAUCCUGAUUUUAAAAAUGCCAGUGUGAUCUUUUGAUCAAAGCUUUCCUUGUAGGGUAUCAAGUCUCCCCUUACCUGAAUGCAUGAAUCUUGAGUUGCCUCAAGUAGGAGAACCUCUGAGAGAUGGUCCAAACAUCAGUUUUCUUCGUUGCUUUUUUAAUGACACAGGUACAUUUUGAGAGUUUUUAAUUGCAUUUCCCCUAAAGGUUGUAAAGUGUGUGUGUGUGUGUGUGUGUGUGUGUGUGUGUGUGUGUGUGUGUGUGUGUUUAAUCUCUCACACAUCCUGGUGGGAAACGUUCAAGUGCUCAGAUGGAACUACUUGAGACUAGCAACCAAUUGAACUUGACAGUCAUACCUGAUACUCUGUUCAUCCUCAACAUUUUAAUCAUCUGGAUUUUGUAAUUCUGUUGUGUUUUGUAGGAAAGCAACUGUGUUAUGUGAGAGAUGAAACUUUGCAGUUUUCUCAUGUUUAAUUUUUUUUAGGUCUGUCCUGGAGAAUUUUUCCAGCUGGAUGACUAAUGCAGAGGGAUUUUUCUCUUCCAUUGCUAUCAUCCCUUAUGUGAAUUAUUAAUAUAUGUUUUUAUUUAUAAUUCAUUACCUUUAAAACAGAGUCAUGGAUGAGCAAAGACCCAGCUGCACUUGGGCUCAUCAAAUGUCCUUAACUGUUUUUUGGAGUUUGAGCGUUUUCCCAACAUGUUUCCACGAACAUUCUCCCCUUAUUUACAAUCCCUUGUGUGUCUAAGGGAAAUGGAAGCCUUAUGUUUCUUUUUCACUUAUACUUAACUCAUCAGAAUGUUUUGCAAAGCAAUUUAAAUGUCCAAGAAGAUUUUUAUUACUGAUUUUCUUAGAAACAUAAAGUCUUAUUUUGCCAAUGGUAGAAGAGAAAAAAACCUAUAUGUGAACCCAAGGACUAAUGUUUGCUUCAGAACUUAAAACCGAUAAAAGUUUGAGUGGGUUUUGAACUUGGCAAUUC